Molecule: ribosomal RNA, 253 nt
Filed under: uncultured bacterium
Lineage: Bacteria
Description: partial 16S ribosomal RNA
Rfam family: Bacterial small subunit ribosomal RNA
Source: RNAcentral
UACGUAGGGGGCUAGCGUUGUCCGGAAUCAUUGGGCGUAAAGCGCGUGUAGGCGGUUCGGUAAGUCCGCUGUGAAAGUCGGGGGCUCAACCCUCGAAAGCCGGUGGAUACUGUCGGGCUUGAGUACGGAAGAGGCGAGUGGAAUUCCUGGUGUAGCGGUGAAAUGCGCAGAUAUCAGGAGGAACACCAAUUGCGAAGGCAGCUCGCUGGGACGUUACUGACGCUGAGACGCGAAAGCGUGGGGAGCAAACAGG